AAACCCUCUUGCUUCCUCUCUGCUCUGAUGUCAUGUCAGUUUAUUCUACCAAAUACCUUCCCUAUGGACUAUUUUGGUCUGGGUUCAACUAUGUCACAAAAAUGCACCUGACACUGAUUUUUUUGAAUAUAUUAUUUUUAAUUUUACCUCCCCCCCUCCUUUUUUUCGAUAUUUUCUCAUCGCUGGAACUCCCCAACGCGAGGCGAAAGUGGAAUCAUGCCCGAAACAUGACCCACCUAACCGCGCUCCUUAACACACGCCACCUUAACCCGGAAACCAGCCGCACCAAUGUGUCGGAUGAAACACGUUCCCUUAUGCACAUUCCAUGAUCGAACGUUCUAAACACACUUCUUACCGGCAAAAAAAGAAGUUGUUACCGACGAUAUAACGUUACUACCACUAUGUCGCAGUUUUUUUACUAGGUGUCUUCAGGACUUGCCUUAAAUUAAUAUGAAUGAUGUACAUCAAAUUGUUAAGUCAGCCUCCGAGACUCCAGCUAACAAGAAUGAAAAGGGGUUCAAGAUGUAUACCUUUAUAGGAAGCUAACGUUACAUAGAUAACUAUGAAGAUGGUGUUAAAGCACGCCGUACCAGUGAUAGUGGUCCAGAGCCACUGCUCCUGUGUUGCAGGAAGUGCUAUGUGCAAUCAUCUGGUGGCCCUUCUUUACCAGACUCAACUAAACAUUCCUGCUGCACCACCAGUUCACAGCUGCACAGACACAGAAUAGUGUUGGCACAAGCCAAGAACACUUGUGAGUCUAUCAAUAUCCAUAAAAAAAUGCACCUGAAAAGUAUUCAGCCUAUGUAACAGUAAAUCCUUGUUAAUUAGGGUGUGAAGACAGUUCCGGUUGAUGGGAUAGUUCCGUAAACCUACAAACUCGUGUGCUGAUGGAAUAAGAUAAGUUGGAGGUUCCUAGAAUGGAAACAUUUUAGAAAACAUUUUCUUGUGAUUGUUUUUGUAUCCAGAUGAUGAGCUUAAACAGUGGCGUCUUUACGAUGUAAUGACACAUUUUGGGACAAAGACUGGGGGGAAAUAUAUAAUCUAUAAAUCUGUAUUUUAAUUAAUUUUAUUUGAACUUUCGGGCUUGUGCUGUUUCUGGAAAAGUUACAUGAGUCUUAGUCAUAGUAAUCUCGCCAACCUGGUGUUAAGGUUUUAAAAUGUUUUGCAGAAGUUCUCUCUACAUAGCACUCAAUGGAUACAUGCCUGACAUGGACCUUCUCCGCGUCUCAGAAACGUAUGCCAACUUUUCUCUACUUACUUCCCCUCUUGUGACAACAAUGGAAAUGUCAGCUGACGUGCCCCUGGUUGAAUCCGCCUUUGGGCCAGUGCAAGCUGGUAGUGUGCUGUCCUAUCAGCUUCCACAGCCAAAGACCAUGGAAUUGUGAAGAUUACCGAUGCCCCUUCUCCACCAAUACUUCCAUUAGAUGGCUACAGGCUUCAGUCUUCCCAGUGUGCUUACGUCCUUAGCCAUCGGGAGCAGUUCCACGUCAAGGCAUUAGAGACAACCUACGAGAUGUCACAGAGAGUUGAGGUUGCAGCCCGGAAUGGCAUCAGCUCAGGAAAAUUAGAAUAACAUCCUCUCGUUUUCGAGAGGUUUGCCAUGUCCGGGGAGAGACCUCGGCUGACCACCUCGCUGAGCGAAUGUUCAAGGGAUCUGGUAUGCAGACCGUGGAGAUGAAGAGGGGGCUAGCCAUGGAGCCAGUGGCUGUACAGGAGUACUGCACACUGAAGAAUGUUAACUUAUUUCCGUGUGGCUUCAUAGUGCACCCAGAUGCUCCGUGGUUAGGAUCCUCUCCAGAUGGCAUCAUAUUUGAUCCCAGUGUGAGACCACACUUUGGACUCUUAGAGGUCAAGUGCCCAAAUGUACCAAGUUAUGUUGAGUGCCCUUACCUGAAGAUACAGAAUGGAGAGCUGAAGUUGAAGAGAUCUCAUGCUUACUACUAGGUGCAAGGUCAAAUCCUUCUCACAGGUUGUAGCUGGUGAGACUUUGUCAUCUGUGCACAGGAUGACAACCUAGUUGAAAGGAUAUAUAAAGAUCUACAGGUUUCAAAAACUAUAAGAGAGAAGGUUGACCACUUAUAUUUACCACUACUUGCAGAAGUGUCUCUCGCACCUGAAUGGAUCCCAUGCAUGGGUGCCAAGUUUAGUGGUUUCACAAAAAAUAAGUAUUGAUGUUCUUGUGAAGAAAACUAUAGUAGAAUAGAUUUGUUUAAAAAAAUGUAUUUCAGCAAAUGUUCAACAGUUCAGUUAAUCAAUUACACAUCUCCAACGUUGUAUUAAAUCUUGCAUUCUGGC
This is a non-coding RNA of Oncorhynchus mykiss (rainbow trout), 2295 nucleotides long. The record is from RefSeq and is a predicted model, not a curated record. NCBI's taxonomy places the organism in Eukaryota, Metazoa, Chordata, Actinopteri, Salmoniformes, Salmonidae.